This 465-nucleotide ribosomal RNA is filed under the name Vreelandella stevensii. RNAcentral's name for it is "partial 16S ribosomal RNA". It matches the Rfam family "Bacterial small subunit ribosomal RNA", at positions 338 to 795 of the family's 1533-position model. Lineage: Bacteria; Pseudomonadati; Pseudomonadota; Gammaproteobacteria; Oceanospirillales; Halomonadaceae. The record is from RNAcentral.
CCUACGGGAGGCUGCAGUGGGGAAUAUUGGACAAUGGGGGGAACCCUGAUCCAGCCAUGCCGCGUGUGUGAAGAAGGCCCUCGGGUUGUAAAGCACUUUCAGUGAGGAAGAACGCCUGGUGGUUAAUACCCAUCAGGAAAGACAUCACUCACAGAAGAAGCACCGGCUAACACCGUGCCAGCAGCCGCGGUAAUACGGAGGGUGCGAGCGUUAAUCGGAAUUACUGGGCGUAAAGCGCGCGUAGGUGGCUUGAUAAGCCGGUUGUGAAAGCCCCGGGCUCAACCUGGGAACGGCAUCCGGAACUGUCAAGCUAGAGUGCAGGAGAGGAAGGUAGAAUUCCCGGUGUAGCGGUGAAAUGCGUAGAGAUCGGGAGGAAUACCAGUGGCGAAGGCGGCCUUCUGGACUGACACUGACACUGAGGUGCGAAAGCGUGGGUAGCAAACAGGAUUAGAUACCCGUGUAGUC